Molecule: ribosomal RNA, 253 nt
Filed under: uncultured bacterium
Lineage: Bacteria
Description: partial 16S ribosomal RNA
Rfam family: Bacterial small subunit ribosomal RNA
Source: RNAcentral
UACGAAGGGAGCUAGCGUUGUUCGGAAUCACUGGGCGUAAAGCGCACGUAGGCGGACAGGGAAGUUGGGGGUGAAAUCCCGGGGCUCAACCCCGGAACUGCCUCCAAAACUCCCUGUCUGGAGGUCGAGAGAGGCGAGUGGAAUUCCGAGUGUAGAGGUGAAAUUCGUAGAUAUUCGGAGGAACACCAGUGGCGAAGGCGGCUCGCUGGCUCGAUACUGACGCUGAGGUGCGAAAGCGUGGGGAGCAAACAGG